Molecule: long non-coding RNA, 2864 nt
Organism: Passer domesticus (house sparrow)
Lineage: Eukaryota; Metazoa; Chordata; Aves; Passeriformes; Passeridae
Exons: 2
Source: RefSeq, a predicted model, not a curated record
CUUCUGAAGUGGCAGGAUGUUGCUCUGUAUGGGUUGAAGCCUUCUGAUGUGGUAUGGUGAUACUGUGUGUAUUGUGGCUGCCUCAACUGUGAUGUACGCUGCGACACACCUUCAGCAGAGAAGUUUUUUUUCAGAGGAACAGCUGAAUCCAAAGGGAAGAUUUGGAUGUUUUCCCCUCUUUGAAAAGUCAGCUACAGAAAUUGAGGAGAGCAGACUUGAAUCACCAUUGGACAAGUGCUUUCAGUGCUUCUCUGGAGUAAUUCACAGACAUUCUUCUCCCUGUGGUGAAAUAUUUUGAAAUCCCUUCUUUUUUCAUCUGAAUGGCAAAUGCCAAAACCUCAGUGUUUUUCGUGAGGAAUUCUUGUCUUCUGGCCAGCUCAGUUAGCUUCACAGCAAGAACUGGGAAGUUAAGUCUAUGGCAAAGGGAGGAUUUCCACAUUCAUGGGGAAGCAGGCAGCAGCUGCUUUCAGUCAUUUGACCUCCUGUAGCACUGAGAUAUCAGACAUUAUAAUCAUGACACUAUACAGAAAGUUAUCAAAUCAAUUAAUUCCUCAGGGAUUUGACCAUUAUCUCUAAUUUUUCUCUGAAAAUGAUUUAGUAAGGCUUAGACAUUCAUCUUGCAACUGAAGUUUAUGCCAGGAAAUUUUCACAGCAGCUAUCAAGUACUCCAUGCUAACAUAAAAAAAAAAAAAAGGCCAAAUCCAAAUGAUGCAUUCUCUCAAUUCCAUGCUGAAGAGUAUUUCCUUUCUUAAUCAGAGUACAUAUUGCUAUGGUCUAACCUGUCAGCCAUAAUCUGAGCUCUGUCUUCAGCUUGACCUAUGCCUGUGUUGUACCUUUUGCUGGUUCUGUUUCACAUUAACUCAACGACAGGGCAGUUUUUAUCCAGCUGGAAUAUUUGACUGGGUUUUUCCUUGUGUCUUGUGCAGGACAGCUACAGUUCUCUCUUGAGCAGCUGCUGCAGAGUGUGGUUGCCGAGACUGCACUCCUAGAUCAUAGUUUUGAGUACCUCUCCUUUCCCUCAAUGUCCUUCUUGACCUCAGUCUGAAGGCCCUUCCUUCCCCCUCUACUGGUCAGCCUUGUGACUCCUCCAUCCAGUCUGCCAAUCCCUAUUGACAAUCUUGUUUUUCCCAACAAGCUCCUUUCAGCUAUCCAGGGGGAAUGGCAAUCCCAUAUUCUCCUUCAGUGCUGUCCUUCAAACUCCUCUUCAUCAGUGUGUUACCAGUCCCUCUGCUGGGGAAGGAUGAUGAUGUGCAUGUGACUUCAGGAUGAUUUCACCAUUUUUUUGGUUAUUUUCUCUGUCCAGAUAUUGCUUUUCUCCCACAGCUUUUCUUCCUGUGCAUAAGUUGGGAGUGAGUUAACAGUUUUGCCAUACCCACACCAACUGAAUGUGAAUUCAGCCAUGACUCAGGAUUAGGGGUCUCUUAUCAGGAAGCUUUCCUGGAGUCCUGAAAUAUUCCAUGGAAACAAGAAAAGCGUUUUUUACUCUUCAGCUCAUUACAGACUGCAAGGACUGAAUAUUCAGUUUGGUACUGAAGGCUAUGCAGGUCUGGAUCCCAAGCAGUGUGGAUUAUUUGACACAGUUUGAGGCCAUAACUUAUCUGCAAUUCAGAACACGAAAACUACUUUCUACUGGGUUCCUAGAUUUUUGACUUCAUAACCUGAAUUACAAUGAUUUCUUGUUGUGCCUGAGCAGAGUCCACAAACUCUGCAAUUUACUGCUUCCUGCAACAGUCUGACACAGUCCCCUGUGGGAGAAAAAUAAGUUAAAUGGAGAACUUUUUCCUCUUAAAGAAUUAUAUUGAUCUUGCAGAUGCUGAGUUGACUCACAGUGUUUCCUUAGAGCACUUGGCUGCAGUUUCACUUAAGAGUAAAUAUAAGAGUCCUAUCAUCUUCUUUCCCUUUAAUCCUAAGCAUUAUAAUCUCUGUCAGUGUAAUGCAGUUUUUCUUUUGUAGAUGAGAUUAAACAAUAUGAAACAGCUCUUCAAUGUUCACUAAAUUCUGUGAUUUCCCAACUAUAACUAUCUAAUUUCUCUCCAAAACCUGUGGUUUAUAUGCAGCCUGAAUUUCAAGUGCAAUAUAUAGAAAAUAUAAAUCUUUAAUUUUGAGAUAUGGUUUACACUGAUCUUUCCUGGUGUGUGUUUUUUUUUUUUCAAAAACCACAAGAGUGAAGCUCAAGUAGCCUACUUGAGAGAGAAAAUUCAUCAUGUCUCUACUCCAAGGCUCUUGUGUUGUUUAAGGGCUAGAUAGACUGUGGUAAAUAAUCCACAGACCGUCACAGGAGGCAAUGCUGGCUCACAUUCCUUCUGGAAGAGCACAGGCUUGCAUCUUUUGGUAUCCUCCUCCUUCUUUUACCUCUUUUCUCUGAACGGGAAUGAAGAGGUUCUUUUGUCUCUGGAGAUUUCUGUGAUGUUUAUUUGACACAGACCUUUGUAGUGUGAUUUCAGUUUGACCGGGCCCCUCGAGGUUGGUUUCCACAUUCUGCUACAAUAUGUCCUUCCCUGCAGACUGUAACCUGAGUUUCCAAAAUGAGGAGGGCUUUUGGCAUGUGAAGAGUGAAUCUGCCUCCUUUUCAUCAGGAUAUACAAAGAUACCUAUAGAGAUGUAUGUAGAGAUAUGUAAAUGAUAUGCAACGAGUAUGUGCCCAGCUGCUGGAACUCAGCUAGGGAGCAGGCAGUGAUUUUUCUCCCUGGGGACAACCUUGUGGACAUCAUCAGAUGUGCAUACCAGUGAUUUUAUACUAUUGGCUGCUUUGCCAAAGCACACCAAAUCCAAGCAACCUUUGCUUUCAUUCUGCAGAGUUCCUGUGACUGACGAUGACUCUGACAGGCAGCUGGUGUUUCCACAGAAACUAUGUUUAGAGCAAA